UGGGGAAUAUUGCACAAUGGGGGAAACCCUGAUGCAGCGACGCCGCGUGAACUAAGAAGGUAUUCGUAUCGUAAAGUUCUGUCCUAUGGGAAGAUAAUGACAGUACCAUAGAAGAAAGCUCCGGCUAAAUACGUGCCAGCAGCCGCGGUAAUACGUAUGGAGCGAGCGUUGUCCGGAAUUAUUGGGCGUAAAGGGUACGCAGGCGGUUUAAUAAGUCGAAUGUUAAAGAUCGGGGCUCAACCCCGUAAAGCAUUGGAAACUGAUAAACUUGAGUAGUGGAGAGGAAAGUGGAAUUCCUAGUGUAGUGGUGAAAUACGUAGAUAUUAGGAGGAAUACCAGUAGCGAAGGCGACUUUCUGGACACAAACUGACGCUGAGGUACGAAAGCGUGGGGAGCAAACAGG
RNAcentral lists this ribosomal RNA (403 nucleotides) under bacterium. RNAcentral describes it as "partial 16S ribosomal RNA". It matches the Rfam family "Bacterial small subunit ribosomal RNA", at positions 355 to 776 of the family's 1533-position model. The record is from RNAcentral.